This 78-nucleotide transfer RNA is filed under the name Mycolicibacterium fortuitum. RNAcentral's name for it is "tRNA-Lys". Lineage: Bacteria; Bacillati; Actinomycetota; Actinomycetes; Mycobacteriales; Mycobacteriaceae. The record is from RNAcentral.
ACCCGGUGACCCGAGUUUGACCGCAGAAGCUGACUCUUAAUCAGCGGGUCCGGGGUUCGAAACCCUGACGGCGCACCA